AGUGUCCUGGGAUAGAUAGGUGA
This 23-nucleotide microRNA is filed under the name Monodelphis domestica (gray short-tailed opossum). RNAcentral's name for it is "Mdo-Mir-1544-P2m1_5p* (star (passenger))". The record is from RNAcentral. Lineage: Eukaryota; Metazoa; Chordata; Mammalia; Didelphimorphia; Didelphidae.